UAAACAUCAAACUCCAAUUAUCCAUCAGCGUACUACGAAAUCAUCCACCACCCAGAAAUCGUGUAAAGGCAUUGUUGGUUGAUGGAACAACAUAUCUCUCAAGAUCAAGCUCGUGAGUCUCUCAUCGCCAUCAUCUCUUACACCUUAUCGGUGAAGCAAGAGCCUCUAACCACCUCAGAUGUGAAACCUGUCGUCACCAUAAGAAACUCGGAAGAUGCGGAAGAGCUCAGAUCAGAGCUGAUUUCCAUCUCCGACCACGACUCACCGGAUGAACCUAUUUCCUCGACACCACCGCCCAACAGUAUCUGUCGUGGAUAGUAGUAAAUGUACAGCACCAAGUCUUUGCUUUUGUUUGGUCUAAAAGUAGACCAUUAAUGUCACAUAUGUAAACGUCUCUCAUCAAUCAAUAUAUCUUCUUUGUGUGCUUA
Long non-coding RNA from Brassica oleracea var. oleracea, 428 nucleotides. RefSeq lists it as uncharacterized. The transcript is spliced from 2 exons. Lineage: Eukaryota; Viridiplantae; Streptophyta; Magnoliopsida; Brassicales; Brassicaceae. The record is from RefSeq and is a predicted model, not a curated record.